AGUGAACGCUGGCGGUAGGCCUAACACAUGCAAGUCGAACGGCAGCACAGUAAGAGCUUGCUCUUACGGGUGGCGAGUGGCGGACGGGUGAGGAAUACAUCGGAAUCUACUUUUUCGUGGGGGAUAACGUAGGGAAACUUACGCUAAUACCGCAUACGACCUACGGGUGAAAGCAGGGGAUCUUCGGACCUUGCGCGAUUGAAUGAGCCGCUGUCGGAUUAGCUAGUUGGCGGGGUAAAGGCCCACCAAGGCGACGAUCCGUAGCUGGUCUGAGAGGAUGAUCAGCCACACUGGAACUGAGACACGGUCCAGACUCCUACGGGAGGCAGCAGUGGGGAAUAUUGGACAAUGGGCGCAAGCCUGAUCCAGCCAUACCGCGUGGGUGAAGAAGGCCUUCGGGUUGUAAAGCCCUUUUGUGGGGAAAGAAAAGCAGCAGGUUAAUACCCCGCUGUUCUGACGGUACCCAAAGAAUAAGCACCGGCUAACUUCGUG
This 492-nucleotide ribosomal RNA is filed under the name uncultured bacterium. Its description in RNAcentral is "partial 16S ribosomal RNA". It matches the Rfam family "Bacterial small subunit ribosomal RNA", at positions 29 to 507 of the family's 1533-position model. The record is from RNAcentral.